RNAcentral lists this long non-coding RNA (588 nucleotides) under Salmo salar (Atlantic salmon). RNAcentral describes it as "lncRNA (ENSSSAG00000119434.1, ENSSSAG00075048582.1)". Lineage: Eukaryota; Metazoa; Chordata; Actinopteri; Salmoniformes; Salmonidae. The record is from RNAcentral.
UGAAAGCUCUGACGUCCAACAUUGCAGGUGUAGGAACUCUCUGGAGGGGCGAGGUCCAUCCUUACUGGGUUGCACCUUAACACCGUGGUUGCAUGUGUUAUCCUGAGCUGCCUCCUGAGCUGUGUCAUAUGUGUGUAAUGAGACACCUUAAUCCCCUGACAUGGCUGGUUGUCACCGAGACCAGGACCUGAGCCCGAGGACCAUGCCUCAGGACUACCUGGCCUGAUGACUCCUCGCUGACCCCAGUCCACCUGGUCGUGCUGCUGCUCCAGUUUCAACUGUUCUGCCUGCGGCUAUGGGACCCUGACCUGUUCACAGGACGUGCCACCUGUCCCAGACCUGCUGUUUUCAACUCUCUAGAGAUAGCAUGAGCGGUAGAGAUACUCUGAAUGAUGAGCUAUGAAAAGCCAACUGACAUUUUACUCCUGAGGUGCUGACCUGUUGCACCCUCUACAACCACUGUGAUUAUUAUUAUUUGACACUGCUGGUCAUCUAUGAACAUUUGAGCAUCUUGUCCAUGUUCUGUUAUCUCCACCCAGCACAGCCAGAAGAGAACUGGCCACCCCUCAUAGCUUGGUUCCUCUCUAG